UGUGUGUGUGUGUGUGUGAGAGAGACAGGGAACGUCCAACUACUUCUCCUUCAACAUGUUCCAGUUCACUGGGAGCUCUGCUGAUGUCUACCUGCACUGCAGACUCAACCUGUGUGUCACACAGAACAACACCUGCGCCCCGACCUGCAGCGCUGCUGGUUCUCGGAGACGCAGAUCUGCCAGGUCCACCUACGUGGCUGAAGCCCCAGCCUUCAUCACCAUGGCCUGGACUAAUUAGGUGUGUUUCCACGGUGACCCGGACUGACUGACCUGCACAAUGAUUCUGGACUGUUGCUUGGUCCUGAUCCAGAGGCCGGUGUGUGAAUCUUUCACAGCGACGUCUCCUGAAAGGAUUCGCUCAGUUCUCACUGCAGAUUUUCUGCAGCUAGAAAACUUUCUUCUUCUUCUUCUUCUUCUUCUUCUUUCCUCAAACAUGAAAGUAUCCAAACGAUGUGGUGAAGGGAAGUGUGUGUGAGUAAACUAAUAUGAUGAAUUACUAAUGAUUCCAAUGAUCAGGUGUUACAUGCUGAGCAGUCUGUGGGGAACAGCUUCCAUCUUGAAGACUCUUGUUAGCAAAGAGGCAGCCAUGUGCACAGUCGAGCUUUAAAGUCCUUUAUGUUGUUUUCCUGGUUCUUUCUGUAACACCGGAUCACUUCACUUUGACAAGCUUUGCCACAAUCAUUCCAUUAUUUACAGAUUCCAGCUCAGUCAGAACUGUGUUUCAAAGGUCCGAUCUGUGCAGCUUCACUGUACCAACAACCGGAACAAGACCGGAUCUUUAUGAUGAAUCUUUAUGAUGAAUCUUUAUGAUGAAUCUUUCUGAAUCUUUCUGAAUCUUUCAAGCAAAUGAAAAUACAAAAAAGAAUAAAAAGGGUUUGUGGGAAAAAAA
Larimichthys crocea (large yellow croaker) is the source of this 889-nucleotide long non-coding RNA. RefSeq lists it as uncharacterized. The record is from RefSeq and is a predicted model, not a curated record. The transcript has 3 exons. NCBI's taxonomy places the organism in Eukaryota, Metazoa, Chordata, Actinopteri, Sciaenidae.